UUCUGCUUAUAGGGAUGAUCUUCCUUUUCGAUAAGAAUUUUGUGUCAAGCUGCUGAUUUUUUUUUCUUGUUCAUUUAUUCAGCAUUGUUUGUAAUAAUAUUUGAUUUGACUCCAUUUUAUAGUUGUACUAAGUCACUGAUGGUACUACGAGUUUAACUUUUGUGUUCUGGUGGCCUUUUGUGCAAUCCAAUGAAGCUGUGUUUUUGGUCAGGUUUUCUUUAGAUGAGCUGUUUGUUUUAUGCCAUUAACUAUGGAUGAUUCCUCAAUUUAAGGCUUAUAGUUUCGUCCAUUAUGUGUUUGCACAAUGAAAUGAUUCAUCACAUUGCCAGUGUUUAAUUGGAUGAUGGCAAGCACCAUGUUGGUUAAUGUCUGCACUUUUCUGGAUGAGGGAACUGUAGCAUUUUUUUUUUAUCUGCAACUCUUUGAUUCUAUUUAUGGAUGAUCUCUUUAAUUGAUCUUAAGUCCUGUCUUUCUUUGGCUGCAUCAACAUUUUUAUCUUUGAUUCAAUUCUGCUACACGAUUUCCUGAAGAACUUUGGUGGACGUAUAGUGACGUGUAUUAUGUUUGUUCUUCUCAAGCUUAAUAUACAAGAUCUAAUGCCUUUGCCUUAGGUAUAUAAGUUGUACUGUCUCUGGACUGAAUCAGACAUGCUUAUUAGGGAGACCGGUAACUGUAGAAGCAGAAUAGGCAAUCUGAAAGUGUUGUGAUCUUUGUAUCCAAAGAAGGAAAGAAGAAUAGAGGUAACUCGUUUGUAGACCCACUAUGAAUUAUUGACAUAAUUCUGCACUUUAAAUACAUCACUGUUAGCUGUAGAAGCAGAAUAGGCAAUCCAAAAAUGUUGUGAUCUUUGUUUCCAAAGAAGGAAAGAAGAAUAGAGGUAACUCUUUUGUAGACCCACUGUGAAUUAUCGGCAUAAUUCUGCACUUUAAAUACAUCACUGUACACCACCGCUAGAAGUUGUCAUAAGAAUCCUAUUUAUAUCUUUCUUAUUUAAAAGAAGUUGGAGUAAGUUUGAUAAUGCUAAGAAUUUUGAAAACAUAAGCCUCAAUGGAUGUGUGCCCUAAUGAAAACUAAUCAAGUGGUAAAUUUCUUGUUGAGACUCUGACCAUUUGCUUUAGGUUACUACUUUGUGUAACUGUCCAAUAUUAAUCAGGAGAGGAAUUUAAAAAAAAACAGUUUUUCAUCCUUAAAUGGAAAUAGGGGUAUCAUUAUAUGCUUAUUAAGCCAAUAUUUUAUGAAUUGACUUGCCACCAUAUCUUUUUUGUACCAUUUAAUAGUAUUGUAGAGUAGAUGGUCCGCAAUUUUUCACCAUCUCACGUAGGUAUCAGAAAUAAAUUCAUGCUAUAGUUCAGUUUAUUAGCACAUCGCACCCUCUCGACUAUGCGGGUCUCUUGCCUUGCUUUAUACUUGUGACGCCUCAUUCUUGUCCUGUUGUUUGUCGCCUCAUUCACAAUUUUACCUAGAUAGUUGGCACAAUUGUAGAGUAUCUACGAGACUUGAAAUGGUAUACCUUUCAACCAUCAAAAACCUUGUAGAGUAUCUAGGAGUCGUGAAAUGUUAUACAUUUCAACCUUCAAAAACCUUGACUUAUGGACAUCUUUGUUCAACAUCAUUGUAUCCUUUCAUAUGUAUGUAUAUAUCAAUCACAUAGAGAGAGAUUACAUACCGAAAAAAUCUUUCAUAAAAGAUUUAAUGGUCUGAAUCAAUAAUUGGCUGUCCAUAUUGAAAAUUCACAUCAUUGGUCAUACUCUACACCAUUAAAAAUGCCGAUAAAACAAAAACGAUGUAUUUUGGUAGGCUCCUAGUUAUGCAUCAGGUGGAUUGAAACUUAGUUGCCAGUAAUGGGAGCAGGUAGGGGUGCUGGUUCGACAUUCUAGGAAGAUUUUGUAGUGGGUUUGUUAUCCUAGAUCGAAGAUUUUGGCUGCUAAGGAUUCAAAAAGGGAUAACAAUCAUGCUAUUGUGCUAGAAUUCAUGGUAGGACAUUCCAAUUGAAAAUUCACACCAUUGAUAAUGAUGUACUCAUCUUAAAAAAUGGCUUUAUCAGUAUUGAUAGGUUUUGAUGUGUAGGUCAUAGCAAAAUAAUUUAUGAUGCCAUCAGAGUUAUCUGCUUCCACUCUCACUUGAUGAAUAGGUUGGUAACCUCCAAAACUUAUGAUUUUUGGUUCCUUGGAAUUUUGUGAUGUAAAUCAUAAUAAGUGGUGGAUCUCCAAUUGGGAUGGGUUAACAUUGAUUUUUUGAGUUGUUUCAAUCUUUCACCAAAGAUUUAAUAUCUAACCUGUGGUCCAACUCAUACAUAUGUACAUGUAUGUAUUUGUAUAUUAUGUAUACAUAUGCAUAUGUGCGUAUUUAUGGAGUUGGCUUCUUGAAGACACUAUAUUCUGAAAACACUUGUUUUCAUUUUAUUAUUAAUGAUUAAAUAGAGAACGAAUUUUUGAACUUUAAUAAUAUCUCCCGUACACAAUAGGUCAAUCUUAUUCUGCAAUCGUGCGAACAUUUUUCCUGAUGUUUCCUUUAAUAGGACACCACAUAAUGCUGUGCCAGAGGUUGACACUUUGAUUGAAGUUUGCAGGAUAUUUUUAAAUUGCAUGGAGUGUUACAUUUUGUUCAUCAAAAAGUUUCGCAUGGCUAGUUAACGUAGCUUUUGGAGCUUUGGCCUUCAUUAAUGUUGAUUGAGCUUUUAAUAUUUUGAUUUUGAUUUUAGUUUUGGAUUUUGUUUCCAUGCUAGAGCUUCACUUUUUUAGGAGGGCAAGAAAGGAUAAUCUUCUGUUUUUGCAUUGUUUAUAACUUUAUAUUACUAGAAAGGUUAUCUGACUUCUCCAACUUGGCUAUAAUGACUGGUAUUCUAUUAUGGUUGCUAGUUUCUUGGUCUUUCAGGAGCAGAUGUCUUCAAAGACCAAUUGCCAUGACAUCCAACUUCUUUAGCCUAAAGUUUUUCUUUCAUUCUCCUAUAGUAGCUAAUUAGGAAACUUGUAAACUUGUCAAAGAUUCAUAGUUCAAUAUAUUAUCUGCUUAGCUAUUUCUCAAACUCAUACUUUAAGAUUCACCUAGUGUUUGGAAGGGAGGGGAAUGUGAUUCUGUCUCAUGAUAAUAUGCUUUUACAUGUAAAACACUUCGGGUUUUUUUUGGUUAUUUUUUUGCAUUAUUGGAUCACAUCCAACACAUCCAGUUUUAUUCAAGGUUACUUUGUACCAAUUUUAGUGAUUUUGCUUGCAUUAUUAAAAUUUCUUUGAUUUUUCUGAUAAAGAAGGCAUAAUGAGUGGGCCUGUUUUAAUAGAUUGCUGCUAUAUUUUGCCAAGAACCUCCGAGGAAAGAGUGUAAACCUGGUAUAAACCGGGGUUCAGUUGUUAGAUUGGUCCAAAAUGCCAACUUUGCCCUUGAUUGUUUGGAGAAAACUAUGAGUUGCAGCCGUUUCCUGGAGAUUUUUGGGGAUUUGAAGCAUGUCAAUUUGAAUAACAUAGAAAUUAUACAAUUUGUGGAACUUUUCCGGUUGAACCUGUUAGUGGUUUCAUAAUGGUGGUUCUAACCUUGUCAUGAUAAGUUGAUAACCCACAUGUACUUCAUCAAGAUGACAUCCAUCCAUAUGUAAAAUAAAUUGUGGGUUGAUGGCACCAAGCACAGAAUUGCCCAAAGGCUUUCAAAUGUAGCCAAUCAACAUGGGUUCUCCAACAGAGGGUUAAUUGCAAGUGUUCUUGGUGUAAGACAACUAAUAAAGGAUGCUAGGAUUCACUAAUAAGAAAAUGGAGGAUUUUGAUUUAGAUUUGGACAUAGCUAAUAAGUGAUAGGGUGAGAAUAGGAUAUGGAAACAAAUGGUUAGGCUAAUUUAUCAAUAUCAUGCUUCAUUUAGGACAAUAUUGUCAUGGAAUAAAGGAGAAUUGCUGCUUUCGCUGCUGUCUGUCAUGUUGCAUGUUGAUGUCACUCUAAAUUAUACCCAGUUGAGGUCCCAGUUGUCUUUGGCCAAAUGACAUCAUUUUUUUUUUUGUAUUUAGGACUAAAUAAGGACUACUAUUUGCUGAUUUGUUAUUGUGGUAUAGCAGGAAUGUAAUGUAAGAUGGUGGUUAAAAGAAUUUAAAUAUGAUUGACAAGGGUUGGUUGAAAGGUUUGUUGUGACGGAUCUCGAUGAAACUAAAGAGGAAUAAAGAGAUUCGAGAAGAUAGAGAGAAGAAAAAAAACACAGCACACAUAGAUUUAUAUGGACUAGCCAUAAGCCUACAUCCACGGGCGAGGAUGGAGAAGAGAUUCUACUAUCAUCAAAAGAAUGGAGUACAAAAAUAAAGCCGUCUCUCAAUAAAACUCUAACCGCACUAUACCACAGUUUCAAACUUUUCUAACAAGACAAAAAAUAGAUAUAUAUCAAAAACUGGCUUAGGUCCUGAGACUCGUGAGUACAGGACCUGUGACCUAUGCGGCUGACACGUGUGCCUUGUGCAGUUCCGCAAUCUGUGCUCUCCAAUCUCGCAUCCUAUGCAGCCAGGAUACUUGACCACCAAGGGCUAUGGCCAAUGCCAAGCCUUGCACGCUUGUUAACGAUACUUCUUAAAAUUUUCUUAAAUGGAAUCAUGGAGAGCAUGGUGGAUCAAAGGAUUCAAGGCAUACUUAACAAAUCUCUACCUUGAUUUGAAUCCCAUCAAGCCACACCAUGAAAUAGUAGAAUGUCUCGCUUCCACAUAAGCCAAAUCUCAAGUGCUACAUACACCAAUCAAGUCCAAGCAAUGCUUGAACUUAGCCAUUGGAAGAGGCUUAAUCUCUUCUUGCAUAGUAACUAACCACUUAGCAAAAUCAAUACAAGAAAUAGAUUCUAAAUAUGAGGAAGGCUCGCCAACAUCAAAUGUCUCUUCUCCCACUGACAAAGCAUAAGCAACUAAAUCUGCAUAACCAUAUCUUUGAGGUGGUCUAAUCUCUCUUCUCUGUCCUUCUUUAGCAAUACUUUACUCCUUAUCCUAUAGUGUUUUUUCAAUCUCAAUAGGAUCAUGCACUUGUUCUGAAACCAAGUUGAGAAGAAGAACUAUGCUGCAGAGGAACUAAACUAUUACUCUCUAACUCCACCUGCUCGAUGUUACUCUUCAUCUUACUUGAAUCACAUGAAAUAGAUGACUCCUUUCUUGGGUGAAGCAUAACAAACUCAUCAAAGGUAACAUUCUUAUUAAUCAUGAAUUUAGGCGACUUGGGAUCCGGAUACCACAACUUAAAUAUAUCCAUUCACUUCAUAUGCAUAGACGAGAAAUAUGCACUUUUUACCUCUAGGUUCUAAUUUUCGAGCAUCAAUAUGAACAUAUGUAAGGCAUCCAAAUACUCUCAAAAUAGGGUAGUUAGCAAGGUUACCAGAUCAUACCUCUUCUGGAGUCUUACACUCAAAGAGCUGCGGAUGAAGAAUGAUUCACCACGUAACAUGCUGUAGAGACUUUCUCUGCCCUAAAACCCUUUGACAAGCCAGCGUUUGAGAGCAUAUGACAAGCUCUCUCCAAGAGGGUUCUGCUCAUGCGCAUAGCCACUCCAUUCUGCUGUGGUAUAUGUCUAACUGUCAUGUGUCUGAUAGUACCCUUAUUUUUGUAGUACUCAUCAAACUUAGAAAAACAAAACUCCAAUCCAUUAUCUAUUUUAGGCCUUUUGAUAUCCUUUCUGGUAUGCUUCUCAAUUAUAGCCUUCCACUGCUUAAAGUUCUUAAAUACUUCAUCUUUGUGUUUUAACAUAGACACCUAAACCUUUCUCAAAUAUCAUCAAUAAAGGUAAGUAUAUACUGAACACCACCCUUAGAAAGAACACAUGAAGCUCCCGAAAGGACCAAAUGAAUAUAAUCUAAGGUACCCGUCGUUCUGUAAAUUGCAGUACUGAAACUAACUUUUUUCUUUUUGCUAAAUACGUAAUGUUCACAGAAGUCCAUCUUUGCUAUACUCUGGCCACAAAGAAGACCUCUUUUACUCAACAUAGCUUUCACUCAUAUAUUCCAACCUCAUAUGCCAUAUUUUGGUGAUAUUGGAAUCUAUCAUGGAAGAUGAAGAAACAGGUGCUGCACCUAUAACAGUAGUACCUUGAAGUUCAUACAGGUUCCCAUACCUCUUAUCUUUUAUUACAAUAAGGGCACCUUUACUAACUUUUAUAACUCCACCGUGUACUUUCACCCAUUAAUAUUAAGGGUGCCUAAAGAUAUGAGAUUCUUUUGGAUUCAAAUCUGGAACAUGCCGAAUAUCAAUCAAGGUUCUCACCACGCCAUCAUGCAUUUUGAUUUGGAUUGUCCUUUUUCCAACUAUUUUACAAGGGGCAUUGUUGCCCAUCAACACAACUCAACCGUCCAGUGAUUCAUAUGUGGAGAACUGAUCUCUACUGGGACACGUGGUAGGAACAAUCCGAAUCCAGAAUCCAUUUAUCCUUGUAUCUAAUUCCAUCGGUCACUGAGAGAACAUCUUUAGCCCUUCAGAAUCACCCUUUGCUACACUAGCUUCUGGAGCUUUUUUCUUCUUUUUUUGAUCCUACUUUUGCUUGUUUUGAACUUAUAACAAUCAAUCUUAAUAUGCCCUUGCUUGUGACGGAAAUGACAAGUCAAACUCCUGUUUUUAGACUCAGAUCUAGGCUUACGUCUACUAUUGUCCAAUCCCCUUUCAUUAGACCUCCCUCUAGCAAUCAAGCCUUCUGCUUGGCCUUCACUUGCAUUCUCAGUUGUGUACUUUUCAAUUAAUUCUUUAGAAAGUAAGGAUGCAUUAACGUCUUCCAUAGAAAUUGUAUCUCUACCGUAGAGGAAGAUAUCUUUAAAAUGCUUAUAUGAAGGACGUAAAGAAUAUAAAAAUAGGAGAGCUUGAUCUUCAUCAUCGAUCUGGACAUCAAUAUUCUUCAGAUCCAUAAUAAUGGAGUUAAACUCAGUAAGAUGAGAUUUAAUAGGUGUACCUGUUGCUGUACGUAGCAUAAACAAGCAUUGCUUCAAAUACAACUUGUUGGUAAGGGAUUUGUCAUAUACAAGGACUCCAACUUGAGCCACAACCCAUCAGCCAUCUUCUCAUCAGAGCCUUCCCUCAAAAGCUCAUCAUACAAGCACAGCUGAAUCACAAUAAGGGAUUGUUCAUCCAUUUCCUCCUUCUGCUCAUCCGUCAAAGUAUUGGGCAUCUUAUCCUUCUCUAGCAGUGCCUUCAAUAACCCUUGUUGCAUUAAGAUAGUACGCAUCUUAACCUGCCAUAAUGUUGGUGGGAUCCAACUUUUCAAUCUCAAAUUUCGUUGACAUCUCAGGAUCCAAUUGUUCAACUUGUGGCUCAAGUACCAAUUUGUUGUAAUGGAUCUCGACGAAAUUGAAGAAGGACAAGGAAAUUUGAGAAAAUAGAAGAAAAAAAACAGCACAUACAGAUUUACAUGGACCAGCCACAAGCCUACAUCCAUGGGCGAGUUGAGAGGUGAUGUUGGGACAAAAAUGGAAAACUUGAAAUCCCUCCAAGUCCCUUGGACUCACUCUAGGAGGGAAUCAGCAGCUUCAGAAUGCUUAAGAGUCAACAAUAAUGCUUAAAAGUUACUAAUAGCAAAGAUGCUUUUUAUUACCAAUUUAUUAUCUAAACUCAAACCAACUUCGUACGAUCUAAAAAGAGAAAGUGCAGAAAAAUUGAGAAGAAACUGAAAACAAGAAAUGGAAAAGGAAAUAUUGAAUUGGUGCAGUGAAUGAUUAAAUUUAACUCUCAUUAAAGUAUUCCAUAUUUGUCAUAUGGCAUUCAUCGUAGAAGAUAUGAUAUUAUCAUCCAUAUUUGAUUAAACUAGUACCCCAACAUGUACAUUCCUUCAUGGGUUAAAUAGUAGAAAUGGUGUAGUCAUUUAGGACAGCCAAGGAAAAAUGAAGGGCUAAUGACAAUAGAGUUUCAGGGUGCAGGUAAUGGAUGACCAUUGUCUAACCGAGGGUUUAGGAUUCUAAGCCUAAAUUAGGUUUUUGUGGUUUAUGUUAUUGAAUAGUCAAAAGCAAGCACUAGCUGGAAUUUAUCUAUGAAAAUUCUGAUAUUUAUAUCAUGCAAAAAACCUCAUGGGAAAUAAAAUGGCUAGAAGAAAGCUGGUUUAGUACUUAGGAAAAAAGAAAAAAGACAAUGGAAGAAGGAGAAAAGGAGCUGACAAUACCUAGUGUCCUCACACCACUAGCAAAAGUCUAGGCCUCACACCUAGGUUUGAAGACCUCAAACCUCCAUUGUGGAAUCACCUAUAAACAAAAAUAUCCAUGACUCCAUUAGUUUAUUUCUCUAAUUUGUUUGUGUCAAGGUUCGCCGUCUCGGUAGCGAACCCCGUACCGGUAUCAUCUUAUUACGAUGUUGGUAUGCGAUAUGGUAUAAAACGGUGAGGCGUACCGAGUGUCAGUACGGUAUGAGACUGCAUACCCGUUUGAUACUGGUACGAUAUGGUACUGACCAGUACGACGAAGCUUGAUUUGUGUAAAAAGAUGUUUUUGGAUCUUCUAUUCCUAAUCUUUUUUCCUUAGUUAAACUUUUGCUAAAGAAAGAAAAACAUUCCAAAAAGUGCAAAAUUUGGAUUUCCCUCAAAGCCCAUAUGGAAAGGUAUUGAACUACUUUUUUGUUGGUGAGAGGAAGGUGAGGAGACCCACCUGCAUGAUAAUUACCCAUGCCCCAAUACUUGGAGAUUCAUCACCCAG
Molecule: non-coding RNA, 8602 nt
Organism: Phoenix dactylifera (date palm)
Lineage: Eukaryota; Viridiplantae; Streptophyta; Magnoliopsida; Arecales; Arecaceae
Source: RefSeq, a predicted model, not a curated record